RNAcentral lists this ribosomal RNA (466 nucleotides) under uncultured bacterium. RNAcentral's name for it is "partial 16S ribosomal RNA". It matches the Rfam family "Bacterial small subunit ribosomal RNA", at positions 339 to 795 of the family's 1533-position model. The record is from RNAcentral.
CUACGGGGUGCAGCAGUGAGGAAUAUUGCGCAAUGGGGGAAACCCUGACGCAGCGACGCCGCGUGGAUGAUGAAGGCCUUAGGGUCGUAAAAUCCUGUCAGGUGGGAAGAAGUGGAUAUAGAUUAAUACUCUAUUUCUUUGACGGUACCACCAGAGGAAGCACCGGCUAACUCCGUGCCAGCAGCCGCGGUAAUACGGGAGGGUGCAAACGUUGUUCGGAAUUACUGGGCGUAAAGCGCGCGUAGGCGGUUUGUUAAGUCGGAUGUGAAAGUCCAUGGCUCAACUAUGGAAGUGCAUUUGAAACUGGCAGACUUGAGUACUGGAGGGGGUGAUGGAAUUCCCGGUGUAGAGGUGAAAUUCGUAGAUAUCGGGAGGAAUACCGGUGGCGAAGGCGAUCACCUGGCCAGAUACUGACGCUGAGGUGCGAAAGCGUGGGGAGCAAACAGGAUUAGAUACCCGGGUAGUC